Molecule: long non-coding RNA, 435 nt
Filed under: Helianthus annuus (common sunflower)
Lineage: Eukaryota; Viridiplantae; Streptophyta; Magnoliopsida; Asterales; Asteraceae
Source: RNAcentral
AUGAAAUAUAAAGUAAAAAUAAAACUCAAAAACACACACUGAGUGGUGGGGGUGCGUACGAUCGCACAGGAAGAAAGGGGCACAAACCCUAAUUCAAGAUAAACCUUCAAAUUGAAAGGGGAAACUGGCUCUAAUCGGAUGCAUGAACCUAGAUUCUUAAUCAUCUAGACUUUCUACACAUGAGCUUGACUCUUGACAAGCUAUAUGGGAUCUUGGAGAAGAAUGGGUUAAACGGAUCAAGUACGCAAAGAAGCUCUAAAGGACACAAAGAGCGAAUAGCAAUUUGGAUACUUGCAUCGCCAUAAAGUUUCGGUUAAUAAAGCGAGGUAUAAAAACGGGUCUAUGCGUUGACUCGAGCCAGGUACGCGACGAAACAUUUUGUUGUUGUUAAUUGUUAAUACGUAAAUCUUAUACAUUGAUGAUAUAUGAAAGUUC